UUGUAAAUAAUUACAAUUACUUAAGUAAUUAUUCAAAUACUGGCCAGCCCUGGGCUGAGACCAGAUAAUGGUAUGAUACAGUACCGUUACUUUCACUUCAUUUUGAAACACAGAUUUGUUCUGAAUAAACUUAAAUAUGAUGUUGCAUUAGAAAAGGCCAGUUUACAAGAGCAAUCCGCGUCGAAUUGAGAUCCUUGGUUUGAUUGAAAAGUGCUAAUUAGUAAUAUUUUAUAAGGAUAUUUGUAGUUUAAGAAAUAUAAAUACAAUAAACAUUUUCAAUUUGAAUAUUUGCGAUGGUAUAGUACUCAAUAUGAUUUUUCUUGUAAAAAAAAACCAUUUUCAGAAUUUCAGAAUUAGAAAAAUAAUUAAAAUAUUGAAUAAUUACUACGUCGCGGAUCAAGGACGCCUUCAAAUUAGACGCUUAUAUAAGCGCUACAACCGCGCCACUACUAAUUUCUAUACAAUAUUUAGAAGCGCACUUGCAGUGCCACAGUCGCGCCACUUUUGCAGACUAGAUAUUGUUUGUUAUUGAAAUCUGUAGCGCUUAACUGCAGUGCUUCUACAAUCGUCUAAUUUGAAGGCGCCUUUAGCCACGGUUUUUAUAUUAUAAAGGCAAUUUUGCUUAAGAUAACUGUCACUUUGAUUGGCGAUUUAAUUGUAUGUUUAAGUGUAAUGAAUAAUAUUUGUAAUAAUGUAUCUAUAUCGGAGAAAUGGUACAAUUUCUUGUGAUCACCGAUUCCAAAACUGGCUAAAAAUCGGGGGUCAGUUGCAACUCGACCUUGUAAGGGAAUCACCGCUUUUUAACGUGGAAUCGGCUUGAGUAGGUCGAAAUAAUUGUAAAGUAACCAUGUAAUAUGAGCGAAGCGAAAAUGUUGCCCGUUUCGCUUCCUCUCGAAGUGCCAACGAAAAGCAAUUAUUUUUUUCGUUUCUGACCAACUUAAUGCGAUUCCCUCUCGAUAAGGGUGCGUUUAUUCUUAUCGUUCUAGGAGUUUCAUAAACAACCACUUUUGUUCUGUGACUUUUUGAAAAACAAUAAAUUUACCAUAUAUGAUAAAAUUUCAUAUUUUUAGAUCAUUCAUUUUUUAGAUCUGUGGUAGUAAGAUAGUAAGUUCAAACGUGCAAGUGAGGUUGUUGUAACAACGGCUGUUCCAGCAGAACUGGACGGCCGUGUGAAUGGGUCGUUACUUGGUCACACGAGCUGCUAUCGAUCCCAGGCCUUGUACUCUCGUUCUUAUUUGGACAUUCUUCCGGAACAAUUAUUGUCAAAUAAGUAUUCGACCCAAUUAAAGAAUGACGCUUCACACUUGACGUUGUUUUUCAAUUUGCUCGAGUAUUUGACGUUUAUUGUUUCGGAC
Long non-coding RNA from Hyposmocoma kahamanoa, 1355 nucleotides. RefSeq lists it as uncharacterized. The transcript is spliced from 2 exons. Lineage: Eukaryota; Metazoa; Arthropoda; Insecta; Lepidoptera; Cosmopterigidae. The record is from RefSeq and is a predicted model, not a curated record.